RNAcentral lists this ribosomal RNA (492 nucleotides) under uncultured bacterium. RNAcentral describes it as "partial 16S ribosomal RNA". It matches the Rfam family "Bacterial small subunit ribosomal RNA", at positions 29 to 507 of the family's 1533-position model. The record is from RNAcentral.
AGUGAACGCUGGCGGUAGGCCUAACACAUGCAAGUCGAACGGCAGCACAGUAAGAGCUUGCUCUUACGGGUGGCGAGUGGCGGACGGGUGAGGAAUACAUCGGAAUCUACUUUUUCGUGGGGGAUAACGUAGGGAAACUUACGCUAAUACCGCAUACGACCUACGGGUGAAAGCAGGGGAUCUUCGGACCUUGCGCGAUUGAAUGAGCCGAUGUCGGAUUAGCUAGUUGGCGGGGUAAAGGCCCACCAAGGCGACGAUCCGUAGCUGGUCUGAGAGGAUGAUCAGCCACACUGGAACUGAGACACGGUCCAGACUCCUACGGGAGGCAGCAGUGGGGAAUAUUGGACAAUGGGCGCAAGCCUGAUCCAGCCAUACCGCGUGGGUGGAGAAGGCCUUCGGGUUGUAAGGCCCUUUUGUUGGGAAAGAAAAGCAGCAGGUUAAUACCCCGCUGUUCUGACGGUACCCAAAGAAUAAGCACCGGCUAACUUCGUG